CCCAAAGCAAUCAGUUAUUUUGCCAGUUGACUAUUUUCAGGUGCAAUUAUACUGAUUCUUCUGGUUCUAUUAAUGUGUGUUCUCCACUUUGAGAGGACUUUAACUGUACACAAGUAGAAAUCUCUUGAGCAGGAGCUCCUCUCUAUCCUGAUUAUGUGCUGGAAAACAGAGUUUAGAGUCUGCAUCCUUCACAAUCCUACUCCAACAAUCACAGACAAUUUUUCUGAGGGGCUGUAAAGACAAUAAGCAAAUAUCCAAGCUUUUAACUUCCAACAUUGGGAUUAACUCCUCCAGCUCCCAAAUUCCUCAAAUCACAAAGCAAUGAAAGCUUGAUCUUCUGUGAAUUAAAAUACACCCUCUCCACAUGAAAAGGCAUGUUUGUGAUGUCACAGAACAUGGAGGGUGCCCCAGACCAGGAAGUCAGGAAGAAAACUGAGUCUUUUCUUUCACACCUUUGUUUCAGCCACAAGUACUCUCUCAGAAGACCGAAUUUUGAAGCAGAUGGCCAGGACAGGAUCUGUGUGCUGCUUGUUCCUGGAAACAAGAGCUGACUCCCUUGUCACCUUGGAGCCUCCUGCACCAACAUCCCACACAAACCCAUCAGCCCUCUCCCAAACAUCAGGGAUCUGUAUUCCAGGCAGAGCUCAAAUGCACCAUUUGGCAUUACCAAGAGCUCCAAACCCUCCCAGGUGUUCUACAACAAACGAGCCUGUGAUUUCCUUGCAGCUACUGAGUGACUUGAAAUUCAGCAGCAUGAUGUGCUUGCAUCCACCCAACAGCCUCCAAACACUCUUUAUGGCUGUCAGGGAUCCAGGCACCAAGAGAAAACAUCACCUCAAUACUCAGAUCCUUCUAAUUCCAAAGCACCAGAAGUCAGGAGGACUGGAAUCAUGACCUUCAACAGGUAAGUUUGGGACUGAGCUAUGUAGAGAGGACUUUCAGCCUUCACAGUUACUUCCCAUAAAGUUACAGCUCUAAUGACAAAUUCCAGGUUCUUUUCCCAGCAACCAACUUUCCUAAGCAGAGAAAGGAGUAGUUACAUUCUCCAAGAAGAAAAGGCUCCUACAGAUAAAUUCUGUACAAAAACCUUGACUCACUGUUAUAACACGAGCUCAGCGUGGGGAUCAACCACCCCUUCCUUCACCCAUCACACCUGACACCACCAGCAGAGCCACAUUCUUGUUUGUCUCGUUCAGGGAGUAAAGAAGAGAGAUUAGUUUCUGAACAGAAAACUGAAAACAAUUCAACAGGUGCCAAGGACACCUGAAUGAAACACAGGGCUGCCCUACACUCCCAAAGAGCAUCAGAGGUCUGGGGUUUAUUUCCUAUUAGGCACUCUAACUCGGGCAAGGCUAAAAGUAAGGGAUCAGAGCUUGGGACAAGUAUAAAAGGGGAAGAAGCUGCGUUUUCAUUUUUCAUGAUGCUCUAUCACCCAGAAAUAGUGUUUGUUUUGCAUCAACUGCAGUCUCAAUUCUGACUUCUCCGUGGCACACUGGCUUCCAAUUUACAGUAGAAACCCUUCUGCUUUGCAUAGCAAGAAUGGUCCUGCUCACUGAAAUUAAACCCACAGGGAAUAGCAACAACUGUAUUUACUAUUUAGCUUUAGCUUUUCGGAAACAAAUAUUUUAAGUAGCUAAAAACUGAGUGUUUUCAGUUUCACACCAGUCCCCAUCUGAACCCCAGUGCCCCUGAGAGAGGGCUGCCUUGGUGUGACUUUUGGAAAAUUACAUUGAAACAAAAGCAAACAGCAUCAAAUGUUUUCACACGUGGCCAACCAUGAGAUUUACAUUUGGCCAAACAGAAACCUAAAGCACUUAGCAAAUGGGUCAUUUGAGUACAAAGCUGAAAUUCCUCUGGAGACUAAACGAGACUUUUCUACCUGGUAAUGCUAAAA
RNAcentral lists this long non-coding RNA (1894 nucleotides) under Manacus vitellinus (golden-collared manakin). Its description in RNAcentral is "lncRNA (ENSMVIG00005017731.1)". Lineage: Eukaryota; Metazoa; Chordata; Aves; Passeriformes; Pipridae. The record is from RNAcentral.